RNAcentral lists this ribosomal RNA (915 nucleotides) under uncultured marine group I thaumarchaeote. Its description in RNAcentral is "bacterial SSU rRNA". It matches the Rfam family "Archaeal small subunit ribosomal RNA", at positions 1 to 923 of the family's 1478-position model. The record is from RNAcentral. Lineage: Archaea; Thermoproteati; Nitrososphaerota.
UUCCGGUUGAUCCCGCCGGACCUGACUGCUAUCGGAUUGAUACUAAGCCAUGCGAGUCAUUGUAGCAAUACAAGGCAGACGGCUCAGUAACGCGUAGUCAACCUACCCUAUGGACGGGGAUAACCUCGGGAAACUGAGAAUAAUACCCGAUAGAACAUUAUGCCUGGAAUGGUUUAUGUUUCAAAUAAUUUAUUGCCGUAGGAUGGGACUGCGGCCUAUCAGUUUGUUGGUGAGGUAAUGGCCCACCAAGGCUAUAACAGAUACGGGCUCUGAGAGGAGAAGCCCGGAGAUGGGUACUGAGACACGGACCCAGGCCCUAUGGGGCGCAGCAGGCGAGAAAACUUUGCAAUGUGCGAAAGCACGACAAGGUUAAUCCGAGUGUUUUCUGCUAAAGAAAUCUUUUGUUAGUUCUAAAACCACUAUCGAAUAAGGGGUGGGCAAGUUCUGGUGUCAGCCGCCGCGGUAAAACCAGCACCUCAAGUGGUCAGGAGGUUUAUUGGGCCUAAAGCAUCCGUAGCCUGAUCUAUAAGUUUCCGGUUAAAUCCACAUGCUCAACAUUUGGGCUGCCGGAAAAACUGUAGAUCUAGGGAGUGGGAGAGGUAGACGGUACUCGGGAGGAAGUGGUAAAAUGCUUUGAUCUUUCGAUGACCACCUGUGGCGAAGGCGGUCUACCAGAACACGUCCGACGGUGAGGGAUGAAAGCUGGGGGAGCAAACCGGAUUAGAUACCCGGGUAGUCCCAGCUGUAAACUAUGCAAACUCAGUGAUGCAUUGGCUUGUGGCCAAUGCAGUGUUGCAGGGAAGCCGUUAAGUUUGCCGCCUGGGAAGUACGUACGCAAGUAUGAAACUUAAAGGAAUUGGCGGGGGAGCACCACAAGGGGUGAAGCCUGCGGUUCAAUUGGAGUCAACGCCGGGA